GCACGACACCGGAGAGGGAGCCUGAGAAACGGCUACCACAUCCAAGGAAGGCAGCAGGCGCGCAAAUUACCCAAUCCCGACACGGGGAGGUAGUGACAAUAAAUAACAAUACAGGGUUCUUUUGGAUCUUGUAAUUGGAAUGAGUACAAUUUAAAUCUCUUAACGAGGAACAAUUGGAGGGCAAGUCUGGUGCCAGCAGCCGCGGUAAUUCCAGCUCCAAUAGCGUAUAUUAAAGUUGUUGCAGUUAAAAAGCUCGUAGUUGAAUUUCGGGAUCAAUGUUUCGGUCAUGCCGUUGGUAUGUACUGAUAUUAUUGAUUUCUCACCUUCUAAAGAACCGUAAUGCCAUUAAUUUGGUGUCACGGGGAAUUAGGACUGUUACCUUGAAAAAAUUAGAGUGUUUAAAGCAGGCUCACGCUUGAAUACAUUAGCAUGGAAUAAUGAAAUAGGACAUCCGAUUCUAUUUUGUUGGUUUCUAGGAUCGAUGUAAUGAUUAAUAGGGAUAGUUGGGGGCAUUAGUAUUCAAUUGUCAGAGGUGAAAUUCUUGGAUUUAUUGAAGACUAACUACUGCGAAAGCAUUUGCCAAGGAUGUUUUCAUUAAUCAAGAACGAAAGUUAGGGGAUCGAAGACGAUCAGAUACCGUCGUAGUCUUAACCAUAAACUAUGCCGACUAGGGAUCGGAUGAUGUUAAUUUUUUAAUGACUCAUUCGGCGCCUUACGGGAACA
Molecule: ribosomal RNA, 723 nt
Filed under: Funneliformis mosseae
Lineage: Eukaryota; Fungi; Glomeromycota; Glomeromycetes; Glomerales; Glomeraceae
Description: SSU rRNA
Rfam family: Eukaryotic small subunit ribosomal RNA
Source: RNAcentral